CUAAUGCUUAUGAUGGUAUUAAAUAUACUCCGAGAUUUAUAUAUCUAUGAAAAAUAUUUGAUCUGAGGCAUUUA
This 74-nucleotide small nucleolar RNA is filed under the name Salix viminalis (osier). Lineage: Eukaryota; Viridiplantae; Streptophyta; Magnoliopsida; Malpighiales; Salicaceae. The record is from RNAcentral.